Molecule: ribosomal RNA, 445 nt
Filed under: uncultured bacterium
Lineage: Bacteria
Description: partial 16S ribosomal RNA
Rfam family: Bacterial small subunit ribosomal RNA
Source: RNAcentral
GUGAGGAAUAUUGGACAAUGGGCGCAAGCCUGAUCCAGCCAUGCCGCGUGCAGGAAGACGCAUCUAUGGUGUGUAAACUGCUUUUGUACGGGAAGAAACACUCCCUCGUGAGGGAGCUUGACGGUACCGUAAGAAUAAGGAUCGGCUAACUCCGUGCCAGCAGCCGCGGUAAUACGGAGGAUACAAGCGUUAUCCGGAAUCAUUGGGUUUAAAGGGUCCGUAGGCGGCUUAAUAAGUCAGUGGUGAAAGCCCAUCGCUCAACGAUGGAACGGCCAUUGAUACUGUUAGAAGUGAAUUACAAGGAAGUAACUAGAAUAUGUAGUGUAGCGGUGAAAUGCUUAGAUAUUACAUGGAAUACCAAUUGCGAAGGCAGGUUACUACUUGUGGAUUGACGCUGAUGGACGAAAGCGUGGGGAGCGAACAGGAUUAGAUACCCCAGUAGUCC